CGGUAUUAGGGUUUCUUAUCAAUCGCUAGGAUUUUCUAACUGAACGUCGCUGUUCUUAAUGUAAUAUUAGGGUUUGGACACUGAUAUAAUUUCUCUGGUCAACCCUUGACCCUUAACCACACACUGUACAUAUAUACAACUAUAUACAUAUAGCAUAUACACUUAUACAAUUAAUCCUGAAUAAUUCACCACAAAAAUUUUAAAUCCAUAAAAUUUAUUCCCAAAAAUGUCAAAUCCAUUCACUUAUUUUCUGUCUAGGUUUAUUAUUCAACCUUUAAUCCAUCAUUUAAGAUUUAAA
Molecule: long non-coding RNA, 298 nt
Filed under: Panax ginseng (ginseng)
Lineage: Eukaryota; Viridiplantae; Streptophyta; Magnoliopsida; Apiales; Araliaceae
Description: long non-coding RNA (PGIN_LNC001163)
Source: RNAcentral